GAAAAUUUAUGGAAAAUACCGUUAGUGGUGGAUUAUGUCUGUGUCGGGUUACCAUAGAUUAUCAGUUCAGCCUUGUGUGACCUGCGUUUAGGAACGUACCUUUAGCGGCGGAUGCGGACAAUUCCUUUUCAGCUGAAACAAUUACACUCAGAUUUCACCAAUUGAAAUGACUCUGACAACUGAAUUUACAGACGUGCCUACUGUGACAAUGUCGGCAGUAAGCAACGGUUCAUCGUCAACAGAUGACUCCAGCAUAACAAUCAGCGAUGAGUCAGGAUCGAAAAUCAAGAAGAGGGAAACAUGGGGAAGAAAACUCGAUUUUCUUCUCGCUUGUAUUGGUUUCUCGGUUGGUUUAGGCAACGUUUGGCGUUUUCCUUUUCUUUGUUACAAAAAUGGUGGGGGUGCUUUUCUUAUCCCCUACUUGUUGGCUGUGAUACUGGGUGGUGUUCCAGUUUUUUUCCUGGAAGUAUCUCUAGGACAAUUUAUGUCUGAAGGUGGUGUUGGAGCUUGGAAAAUUUGUCCAUUAUUUCAAGGAAUCGGCUACGCUUGCUCUAUGAUUGUGUUCUUCCUCGACUGUAACUAUAACAUCAUUUUGACAUGGUCCUUUUAUUAUCUGUUCUCAUCAUUUACAUCUGUCCUUCCUUGGUCUUCCUGCGGCCAUGAGUGGAAUUCAGAAAAUUGUACUGAGAUUGACUUUUACCGCAACGCAAGUUUAAAUGCAUUGAACAGUUCAUAUGGGAUAGAUGACAUGAAUUUGAUGCAGUUUAAUGAAACGACUAAUUACAUUGAACAACCCAUUUCUCAACUAAGUAGAAAUUUCACGAGACCUAUAAUAAUGGAUCCUAUUACAGAAUUUUGGGAGCGCAAAGUACUGAACAUAUCCGAUGGUGUGGAACAUCCUGGAACUAUUAAAUGGGACCUGGCUUUGUGUCUAUUGCUUGCAUGGAUUGUGGUUUAUUUUUGUAUAUGGAAAGGAAUAAAAAGUUCUGGCAAAGUUAUGUAUUUUACUGCAACUAGUCCCUACAUUCUAAUGCUUGUCCUUUUAAUACGUGGGGUUACAUUGGAUGGUGCUGUUGAUGGUUUAAAGUAUUAUUUAAUUCCUGAUUGGAGCAAACUUUUAAAUAGACAGGUGUGGGUCGAUGCUGGUACUCAAAUUUUUUUCUCUUAUUCUAUAAGUUUGGGUACAUUGACUGCUCUUGGAAGUUAUAACAAAUUUCAUCAUAAUUCAUAUAAGGACAGUAUACUGUUUGCUAUAGCUAACACUUUUACCAGUUUUCUUGCUGGAUUUGUCAUUUUCUCUGUGCUUGGUUUUAUGGCUAAGAGACAAGGUUUAACAAUUGAUGAAGUAGCUGAAUCAGGUCCGGGUCUUGCAUUUAUUGCUUACCCAGAAGCUGUUUCACAAAUGCCAGUCGCUCCAUUAUGGUCUAUAGUGUUCUUUGUAAUGAUCAUUUUGCUUGGAUUAGACAGCCAGUUUGUUGGUGUCGAAGGUUUUAUUACGACUGUAGUUGAUCGUUGGCCCCAACACUUAAGACGUGGCUAUCGCCGAGAAAUCUUAAUCGGAUUUGUUUGUCUUUUGGCAUUUACAGUUGGCUUAACCAUGGUUACUAAUGGCGGUAUGUAUGUCUUUCAGUUGUUCGACUACUACCCGGCCAGCCGGAUAGUUCUUCUUGUGGCUUUCUUCGAAUGCGUCGUGGUUGCUUAUAUCUACGGGGUAGACCGGUUCUAUGACAAUCUUGAAAUGAUGUAUGGAUUCAAGUUGAGUAAAUGGAUGAAGUAUUGUUGGAUGUACCUGACACCAGCAUUUACACUGGUAAGUAUUUAUUUUGCUGUAUUUCCAGUUUAAUAUUUUCAUAUGUACUAAAUAUAAUGUUUUCAUUUAAGAUUAUUCACAUGUUUAACAUUUCCUUGAAUGGUCUUCUAAGAAUGUAUUUUAAGUUUUUAUAAUGAUGCAACUUAAACGAGCUGUCUUUCGAGGCUAUCGAAAUAAUUAUCAUUUUUCAAAAGAAACACUAAUGCUAAUUUUUAAAUUUGGAGGUCAGUUACAUUUCAUUAACACUAUAUAACGAUUUUAACAGUCUUUAUGGUGUCUUUAACCAAACGUGUGUUUGUGUGUUUAUUCUUUAAACUAUGUGUUUCUUUUUGCAUUGUGUUGAAAUUUAUAAAUCAUGCAUAUGGAUUGAAAUUCUGAUUUACAUUGUACCUGUCCUCAAAAACAAGGACCUGUAAAUAGAAGCUAAUAAUAACUAAAAGUAAAGAUGGCAUUUAUUUCCUCCUCCACUUUUGUCACAAAAAAUAGAUUAAAAAUUUUUCUCGUUUUUCCUCACGGCCUUUUCAGGUUUUCAUAUACUUCAUAUAAUGUUCUUACCUGUAAUUAAAUACAUACUUGUUUACAUAUGUGUUUAAUAUCUAUAUAUUUAGCGAGUUACUACUACCAUUUGUACCAUGGCAUGUACAGAAGUUAUAUUUCAGCUAGGAAAAAACCAAUGUGGCUAAAACCCAAACCAGACAUUCAUGCUUUAUUGCUUAGUUGGAACAUCUAGUGUGGAACGGCUACAUUGGUCUGGGCAAAUCAUCAAACCUGAAUGGAUGUUUUUACAUUAUUAACAGCCAUUUAAAGGUCUUUGAUUUUGGGAGUGGAAAGUAUUAUUGUAAGUCCAAAUUUCAAUCCCUGUUUAUAACUAAUAAAUUUCAGCACAAAGACAAAAAUGUAAUGCAUAAAGUGAAGAAUGAUUUGCUCUGAUUAUAUUUCAUUGAGAUUAUAAGAGAAUUUAGGGCACUAGUGACAUAUUGUCCCAGAAAGAAAAUUAUUUGUUUACUCCUUUUCUCUGACAAAGUAAAUAGAUUAUAUUCAAACCUUACUUUUUAUUUUUCAGUCUCUUUAUUGAAGAAGUAAAUAUCUAAAGAAAUUAGAUAAGUAAAUUCAGGUAUUAAGCACCAUGUAGUAAGGUGUAUUAACUGGCUAUUAAAUUAAUAGUUCCACUGUGAUGUGUUAUCUUUGCAACUCACAAAAGAAAGCCAAGGAAAAUGUCAGCAUCUAAACACUAUAUAUUUAUGCCAUAACUGAUACAAUUUGUAGUGUUAGCAGCUAUAGAACACGAGACAUGAGAACAUCUGUGACAUUCCUACUUAGAUUAUAUGUCCAAGUGAGUGGUUAGCAAGUAGACUAGUAUUGAUAUUUGGCUAAUGUCUGUAGCACAUGCUUGGAACCAGUUGUCAGGUAUUGUCAAUUUUGCUUUUUCUCCCCCAUUUCUCUGCUAUUUCAUGUUGAAG
This 3270-nucleotide unclassified non-coding RNA is filed under the name Octopus sinensis (East Asian common octopus). RNAcentral's name for it is "sodium- and chloride-dependent taurine transporter, transcript variant X2". Lineage: Eukaryota; Metazoa; Mollusca; Cephalopoda; Octopoda; Octopodidae. The record is from RNAcentral.